This 1116-nucleotide long non-coding RNA is filed under the name Homo sapiens (human). Its description in RNAcentral is "PREDICTED lncRNA (TCONS_00238806)". The record is from RNAcentral. Lineage: Eukaryota; Metazoa; Chordata; Mammalia; Primates; Hominidae.
GCCACACCAAUUCAUGUUAAAUUGCCAGUAGAUGGAAACUAUGUUACCACAACUCACUGAAUUGCUAACUUUUCUGUGAAAGAAUUAAAACGAGGUUCAGCACUCCUGCAGAAACUGAUACUCACCCCAGAAAGACACCUUUUCCCAUCCCUCUGGCCCCUAAGCCUCCAGGGCUGCUCGGCACCUGGCCUCAGCAGGUGAACAUCAUGCCAGAUUCCUUGUCAGAUUCAAGGCCAAGUGGGUGAAUGUCAUGUGCAGUGUUGUGCCAGGUAUGUGCCGGGAGCCACAUGUUCCUUGGGGACAGCCUAGUGAAGCAGGAGACAAAUAAACAUGCUUGGAUGGAGGUAUGCAUGUGCUGUAACUCUGGAAUCCCUGGAAUAAUGGAGCCCUACAGAGAGGUACCUAAGAAAAGAAGUGACAGCGUCAAAGCAACAAAGGACAGACACGGGUAGGUGGGUGACAAUCCCCAGGAGAAGUAGGAUAAAAGUCCAGGGAAUUCUGGUACAUUUCUGUCUCCUUUCAGUGGCUUCGCUGAGCACAUUAAAUAGGGCCAUGCUACUAUCCCCAGUUUACAGAUGUAGAAACUGAGGCUCAGUGACUGCAAGUAGCUUCCCAACUGAUACUGAUCACAAUAAAAUAUUAUAAAAAGUUAACAGGAAGGGAGAUAUUAGGUCCUCUGCUGCUCUGGUGCACCUGCCAUUCCUUGCUAAGCAUCACUAUGGCAAAUAGUAAGACUCAAGGCUGCAACCAGAAAUUGGUUGAGAUUCGUGUUCCUGUCUCAAGGGUUACUCCCAGUGGCACCCCCUGGGUUUUCUAGAACAAAGGACUCCAUCUCAGCAGGGAGAAAGAAAGAUGCAGUUUCUGACCAUAUCAAUGGCAUUGCUGGAGGAUCUCCCUCUCUAUGUUGCCACACCGAGAGGUGCACAGAACACAUUCUGACAAGUAAAGAUUCCAGUGUCAUCUGAUAACUAUCAACAACUUCAUUAGCUCACCUAAACAAAGAGCCUUUCUUAUUUUUUUAGAAACAAAACUCUUAUGGAAACGAUUAUGUUUUCUUCUUUCCUCUAAAACACUUACUUGGCUAAGAUGAUUUUUAUUCUAAGAUGAAGAUUUACC